RNAcentral lists this ribosomal RNA (305 nucleotides) under uncultured bacterium. RNAcentral's name for it is "bacterial SSU rRNA". It matches the Rfam family "Bacterial small subunit ribosomal RNA", at positions 337 to 658 of the family's 1533-position model. The record is from RNAcentral.
UCCUACGGGGCGCAGCAGUGGGGGAUAUUGCACAAUGGGGGGAACCCUGAUGCAGCGACGCCGCGUGAGUGAAGAAGUAUCUCGGUAUGUAAAGCUCUAUCAGCAGGGAAGAAGCAAGACGGUACCUGACUAAGAAGCCCCGGCUAACUACGUGCCAGCAGCCGCGGUAAUACGUAGGGGGCGAGCGUUAUCCGGAUUUACUGGGUGUAAAGGGAGCGUAGACGGCAUGGCAAGUCUGAAGUGAAAGGCAUGGGCUUAACCCCUGACCUGCUUUGGAAACUGCCAUGCUAGAGUGCUGGAGAGGG